This 605-nucleotide ribosomal RNA is filed under the name Hanseniaspora uvarum. Its description in RNAcentral is "eukaryotic LSU rRNA". It matches the Rfam family "Eukaryotic large subunit ribosomal RNA", at positions 39 to 661 of the family's 3401-position model. The record is from RNAcentral. Lineage: Eukaryota; Fungi; Ascomycota; Saccharomycetes; Saccharomycodales; Saccharomycodaceae.
CAUAUCAUAAGCGGAGGAAAGAAACCAACUGGGAUUACCUUAGUAACGGCGAGUGAAGCGGUAAAAGCUCAAAUUUGAAAUCUGGUACUUUCAGUGCCCGAGUUGUAAUUUGUAGAAUUUGUCUUUGAUUAGGUCCUUGUCUAUGUUCCUUGGAACAGGACGUCAUAGAGGGUGAGAAUCCCGUUUGGCGAGGAUACCUUUUCUCUGUAAGACUUUUUCGAAGAGUCGAGUUGUUUGGGAAUGCAGCUCAAAGUGGGUGGUAAAUUCCAUCUAAAGCUAAAUAUUGGCGAGAGACCGAUAGCGAACAAGUACAGUGAUGGAAAGAUGAAAAGAACUUUGAAAAGAGAGUGAAAAAGUACGUGAAAUUGUUGAAAGGGAAGGGCAUUUGAUCAGACAUGGUGUUUUUUGCAUGCACUCGCCUCUCGUGGGCUUGGGCCUCUCAAAAAUUUCACUGGGCCAACAUCAAUUCUGGCAGCAGGAUAAAUCAUUAAGAAUGUAGCUACUUCGGUAGUGUUAUAGCUUUUUGGAAUACUGUUAGCCGGGAUUGAGGACUGCGCUUCGGCAAGGAUGUUGGCAUAAUGGUUAAAUGCCGCCCGUCUUGAACA